Molecule: small RNA, 320 nt
Filed under: Histoplasma capsulatum var. duboisii H88
Lineage: Eukaryota; Fungi; Ascomycota; Eurotiomycetes; Onygenales; Ajellomycetaceae
Description: Histoplasma capsulatum H88 hypothetical RNA
Source: RNAcentral
UGGCCGCUUGGGGAGGGGUUUCAAACUUAAUGCCCCUCCACAGUACCACAGGUUCGAAUCAGAGAGUAUCCAUGUGGAAAGUCCUCUUUACUCGGACAGUCCUUUUCUGUGCGGGGACAAUGCUUAGUUAGUCACUCUAGAUCCUCGGAUAAGGAACAGUUAUAGUUCCCUAGCUAACCAACAAGAAAUGGCAGUGGAAGGGUUGAGCAAAGAGAGGCCUGGUUCUGGUAGUUGCGUGUCCGUGGGGGGAUGUAGGGAGCAUGGCGCCGGUGGUGAUCAAGCUCUUUUGGCCCAGGGACAUACAAUUGAAUGUGGUUGAU